CGGAAGCGGUGGGAGCAGUGGCAGCAGCUCCCUCCCUCCUGUCCACAUGCCUCUGCCUCCUUCCACGGAGCAACAGGGCUUCCCUCUGCCUGAAGCAGCAGCACAGCUCCCUCUCCCCCUCCUGCCUGCCCACCUCUGCCUUCUCCCAUGCAACAGCAGGGCUUCUCUCCACUUGAGGUGGUGGCAGUGGUCAUGGCUCCCUCCCUCACCCACCUGCCCACCCACCUCUGCCUCCUCCUGAAGUGGCAGCAGCAGCAGCUCCCUCCCCUCUGCCCACCUCCACCUCCUCCCCACGGAGCAGCAGAAGCUGCUCCAACCCCCUUCCCACCCACCCACCCACCUCCACCUCUUCCUUCCGCAGAGCAGCAGGACUUCCCUCCGCCUGAGGAAUGCUGAAUGACUAAAAGAGCCUUACAUUGCCUGGUGCCCUCUUCUUGCUCCCAAGAAGAUUUUAAUGGAACGCAGACUCAAUAUGUGCAGAGUAGCCCUACUACUAGAGGUGGUUUUCUCUUCCAUCCUACCAGUGACCGGAUGAGGAAGACGGCAGGAGAACUGCAUCAGAGAGACCAACUGGCGGCUUCGGCAGUGGUGUCUCGAGGCAGGCUUCGGAUUCCUGGACAAUGACCCGCACAUCACGACGAGGGACAUGCUCAGCUGGGAUGGGCUUCACCUGUCCCCCAAAGAACUAAAGCGAAGAGAAGAUAGUUAAGCCUUAUUCUGUUUUAAUUCAGCAGAACUGUGGCAGCAUCCUUAUGUGUAUAGUGUUUGAAAAGGAAGUUCCUAAGGCAAAUCAGAAGAAAAAAAAGGAGGCUUUUAAAUAAUUUGGAGAGAAUACAUCAUGAAGUCCUACUGUUUAAUCCACAAGGAUAUAUACCAGUCACACAAGGGCUUCACACCUGGAUCAAUCAAUUAGGUUGCAAACCUUCAAGAUCAGCUUCCUCAGCUCUGAAUGUAAGCAGCUUCCAGUGAAGUAAAAGAAAACUGCCCAGAUGAAAAGUAACUUCAGAGUCGGGUUCUGUGACGUAUAAGCCUUGAAUAGUGCUCAAUUUUGUUGUUGAUAUUUAACCAACAGCCACAACAGAGGAACAGGCCAACUUUCCAUUGCUGAUAAUUUUGCAUUUAAACUAUUUGGGCAAUUUCUGAACAUAAACAAGCAAUUUUUUCAUGCUGUGUGAAAGAUGUAGACAAGCUGGGAAGUGUCUGGGGGAAAAAAAGCAGCAAAAAUAAGAGGUUUAGAAAAUAUGACCUCUGAGGAACAGCUGAGGCAAUUGCUUUGUUUAAUUUAGAGAAGUGAAUGCUGAAGGGAAGGGGGAAAUACGGUAACAGUUUCCUCAUAUGUAUGACGACAGUCAUCAAUUGUUCUCCUUGUAUUUUGGGGGCAGAACAAAUGAAAAAAUCAUAGAAUCAUAGUAAUAGCUGUCUUUGAAACAAGGAACAUUGAUGUGAGAUAUCAGGAAAACUCUUUCUAACUCCCAGAUAUGUGGAGCCAUGAAAGUACUGUCUUCUUCUCUUUGGAUUAUGUACCAAUUACAGCAUGGUCAGCCCAAGAAUCAGACCCACUAGCUCUUCCCCCUGUCUUUUUCAUCAUACAACACACACAUGAGAGAAGAAGAUAGGCCUGAGAGGCAGAGGUAGAAGACUGAACAGUGAUUCUCAGCCCAUGGACCAGAACAUCUGGUUGGGUUUAAGUUGUUGAGGGUUUUGUUUUUCAUUCUUUUUUUAAUCCUUUCUGUAGAAUCAUAGAAAUUAUAGAGAAGGAGGGCUGGAAGGGACCUCCAGAGGUCUUCUAGUCCAAGCCCCUGCCUAAGUCAUGGUCAUCACUAUAUAAACCAUAAUCUAACUCUACAUAAGCCAACUGUCAACCCUAACACCCUAACCUGCCACAGGUACAGAAGGUGAAUGAUGGCCACCAACCUCCUGCUUCUAUGAAAUAUUAUCAGUAUACUCAAAAUACCACAGGUAGAAGGUCAUCCCCAUUACAGAGGAAGGAACACCCCCUCCCCCCCCAGUCCAUAUCAGUCUCACCAUGGGGUAAAAUUCCUUUCUGACCCCAAAUAUGGUGAUUAGUCUGGCCCUGAGUGGAGGUGCAAGACCCUCUCACAAGAACCUCUGGCUUUGUUCCUAGCAGGACACCCAAUGCCCCUGAGGAAGGCUUAAAAACACUCUGACAUAUAUAAUAUAAAGUGGGGUACAGGAGCAAGUAGCAUGGGACAUACCCAUAGCAAAAUAUAGCAUACCUACUCCUAGAUCAUUCCCAACCAGUGGCUGUCCAACCUCCUUUUGAAUACCUCCGAUAGUGGUAAGUCCACAACUUCCAAGGCAGUCUAUUCUGCUGACUCACUGUGGAAACAGUGGAGAAGUUUUUUCUGGUUUUUCCAGAUAUCCAAUCUAAACUUAUUUUGCUGCAACUUCCAGCCAUUGAUCUGCAUCCUCCUCUCUGCAGCAAGAGAGAAGAGGUGCUUCCCUCCUCCUUAUGGUAGCCCUCCAAGUAUUUGAAACCUGCUAUCACGUACCCUCUUAAGUGCCAUUUCCACAAGCUGAACAUGCCUAACUCCUUCAGCUUCUCUUCAUAUGAUUUGCCUUCUAAGUCCUUGAUUUUCUUUGUUGCCUGCCUCUGGGCCUUCUCUCACUUCUCCAUGUCCUUUUCAAAACGUGGAGCCCAGAACUAGGCACAAUACUCCAGAUGUGGCCUAACCAGUUCUGAGCAAAGAGGCACUAUCACCUUUGUCUUGCACUGAAUGCUUCUCUUGAUGCAUCACACUGCAGACUCAUACUGAGUCUGUGGUCUAUCAUGACUCCCAAGUCUUUUUCUAUAGUGCUCCCAUCCAACCAGGUGUCACCCAUUUUUCAUAUACAUGUUUCCCUCUCUUUAUGCUAACAUGCGUUCCUGGAAAAUGGCACAUAACUCAAAUUCACAUAAAGGGAACCCACUUUACAAUGUAACAAAUAGGGAUACGUUCCAAGACCUUGACUGCACUGACCCCAGACCUAUUUCUACCACUUUUACAAGACAGUUUUGGUACUCACCAACAGCAGGCAGUACACCCAAGCACAGCUGCAGCUCCAGAAGCAUGGGCACCAGCUGCCCUGAGUGGCGGCCAUGGGUGCUGCUGCCAGGCGGCUUCAUGGCUCACUGCUCCCAGGGCACUGCACUGAUGGGGCCAGACCAGGCCAGGCUGCAGAGGCCAGCACUCCACCACCCAGCUCAGCCCCUGCCAAAUAAUUUUUCUUCCUCCACCUAUGGUGUGACUCCCAUAAUGCACUGCACAAAGCAGCUGACUGGUGAUGUGUAGAUGGUGGCAUGUAGCUGAGCCCAUGUGGUACCUAAGUAAGGGAGGUUGAAAAAAAUGAGUUAAGUGAGCAUUCUGAGGCUGCUCGAUUUGCCCUGUUAGUCCCCUUGCUCAUGUGCCUAUAAGAGAGUAAGGGAGGGACAGGUGCAAAGCACAGUAGGACAGUGGAAAAUGGGCCACUAGGGAAAUUGUGGAAUCUCCCCUUUUUGGAGAUUUUCAACAGAAGGCUGGAUAGGCAUCUUGGAUAGUUUAGGACUAGCACAGUCUGUACCACUGUAGGGAGCUGGACUACAUGCCCCUUGUGGCCCCUUUUCAACCCUAUAAUUCUCUAGUUCUGUAAUACAAUCCCUAUACAUAUGUAAGUAUUGGCCUUCAUUUCAAUUAAUUUCAUUCACAACGUUUUUCUUACUAGGCCACCCAAACUUGCCCAGAAUCAUUCUUAUGAAAAAUAUACUUGUAUACUAUAAGGUAUGAUCAUUAAUUCACAGAGUUUUAAAUUAAUCUCUCAUCACAGUCACAUUCCUUACAAGACCCGAGGUGACAUUUUGGCUCUGCUGUUUUCAGCAGGGCUGAAAUUUCCCCAUUCAUGUAUAUUUGGAAGUAAUUAAAGUCAGACCAUAGGCAGAGUCAUUUUUUAACUGUAAGUUCUAUUAGAAUGGAAUAAUUUUUUCACAGGAAAAUGGUUAAGAAUUUGACACUUAAGUUACCAUCCUUUAACAAGAUGAUUAGGGAGCUCUUUCACAGCUCUUUGAACUAUUGCUUCAAGUUGCCUGUCUGUAAACUCAAAAGUUCAAUUUUCAUGAUCAUAUAGGGUAAGAAUUUGGGUUCCAGAAAUGGAAGGCUUUAGUCACAUGGAAACUGGUGAACUACCAGAGAGUUGCAACAUGGUCCUGGCUUGUGUUAUUGUAGAUAACAAUGCAAGGAGAAAUAUAAUAGAAAAAUAACUCCUCCCUUUAUUUUGUAAACUACAAAUGGUGCAUUCCAAGCUGGGGAAUGAAGCCACCUGGGGAAUUCAAUGCUGGGGAAUGAAGAUCAAGACAAAUUGUCUUUUAAUCUUAGUGGUAAUUCAUAAGCCCCAAGAGAAGACAUAAACCUUAUUAUAGAUAUGCCCAUUUAAAAACAGUUAAAAUCUGCAAGAUUUUUUGGUUUGAACAAGCACAAGACUUGUAGCUAAACUCAGUGAGCAAACAAACAGUAUGUGGAUACAAACCAGAGAAAAUGUGGACCUCAGCUGCAGUUAGUUUAACCAACCCUAAGAUAACACUAUACAGAGUUAAUCUAUGGCUAAAUGUAUUAUGUUCACUUACUCUGAUUUUUACAUUUAUUAAUAGAGAAGGAAAUAAAGUCAAAUUGUACUUA
Long non-coding RNA from Alligator mississippiensis (American alligator), 4649 nucleotides. RefSeq lists it as uncharacterized. The record is from RefSeq and is a predicted model, not a curated record. The transcript has 4 exons. Lineage: Eukaryota; Metazoa; Chordata; Crocodylia; Alligatoridae.